UACAGAGGAGGCAAGCGUUAUUCGGAAUUAUUGGGCGUAAAGCGUCCGUAGGUGGUUGGUCAAGUCAGGCGUCAAAGCGCUGGGCUUAACCUCAGAAAGGCGGUGGAUACUGGUAGGCUCGAGUGUGGUAGGGGGUAGUGGAAUUCCCAAUGUAGCAGUGAAAUGCGUAGAUAUUGGGAGGAACAUCAGUGGCGAAAGCGGCUUCCUGGGCCAGCACUGACGCUGAGGGACGAAAGCGUGGGGAGCGAACGGG
RNAcentral lists this ribosomal RNA (253 nucleotides) under uncultured bacterium. Its description in RNAcentral is "partial 16S ribosomal RNA". It matches the Rfam family "Bacterial small subunit ribosomal RNA", at positions 524 to 776 of the family's 1533-position model. The record is from RNAcentral.